This 429-nucleotide ribosomal RNA is filed under the name Gemmatimonadota bacterium. Its description in RNAcentral is "Gemmatimonadetes bacterium partial 16S ribosomal RNA". It matches the Rfam family "Bacterial small subunit ribosomal RNA", at positions 355 to 776 of the family's 1533-position model. Lineage: Bacteria; Pseudomonadati; Gemmatimonadota. The record is from RNAcentral.
UAGGGAAUCUUCGGCAAUGGACGAAAGUCUGACCGAGCAACGCCGCGUGAGUGAAGAAGGUUUUCGGAUCGUAAAACUCUGUUGUUAGAGAAGAACAAGGACGUUAGUAACUGAACGUCCCCUGACGGUAUCUAACCAGAAAGCCACGGCUAACUACGUGCCAGCAGCCGCGGUAAUACGUAGGUGGCAAGCGUUGUCCGGAUUUAUUGGGCGUAAAGCGAGCGCAGGCGGUUUCUUAAGUCUGAUGUGAAAGCCCCCGGCUCAACCGGGGAGGGUCAUUGGAAAAUGGGAGACUUGAGUGCAGAAGAGGAGAGUGGAAGUCCAUGUGUAGCGGUGAAAUGCGUAGAUAUAUGGAGGAACACCAGUGGCGAAGGCGGCUCUCUGGUCUGUAACUGACGCUGAGGCACGAAAGCGUGGGGAGCAAACAGG